Molecule: long non-coding RNA, 275 nt
Filed under: Mytilus galloprovincialis (Mediterranean mussel)
Lineage: Eukaryota; Metazoa; Mollusca; Bivalvia; Mytilida; Mytilidae
Source: RNAcentral
GAGAUAUAAAGGUAGUCUAACUAGUUGAGUUAGGGAAGAUCUUCUUUGGCUCAAUUGGUUAGAACUGCCUUUAGAUCCCGAGAUUGAGGGUUCGAAUCUCGCUGGUACCAUCCAUGGAUUUUCUCAUCAAUGGCGCUGCGAGCAUCUGCUACUUGUACAAACAUUGUAAAUAGAAUAUUGCCUGGCAGUGAGAUGUUAUAAUUGGUCAUGAGGAUUGACCAGCCGGUCAAAGGAUACCAUGACAGUUCUAGGUGACAUCUAGGGAACUGGCCAGA